AGAGUUUGAUCCUGGCUCAGAAUCAACGCUGGCGGCGCGCCUAACACAUGCAAGUCGAACGAGAAAGGGGAGCAAUCCCUGAGUACAGUGGCGUACGGGUGAGUAACACGUGGGUAAUCUACCUCCGAGUGGGGAAUAACCCCGGGAAACCGGGGAUAAUACCGCAUAAGUCCGAGAGGAGAAAGCGGCUUUGUGAAAGCAAUGCCGCGCUGGGAGAGGAGCCCGCGGCCGAUUAGCUAGUUGGUAGGGUAAAAGCCUACCAAGGCAGAGAUCGGUAGCCGGCCUGAGAGGGCACACGGCCACACUGGCACUGAAACACGGGCCAGACUCCUACGGGAGGCAGCAGUGGGGAAUCUUGCACAAUGGGGGAAACCCUGAUGCAGCGACGCCGCGUGAGCGAUGAAGCCCUUCGGGGUGUAAAGCUCUUUCGGCAGGGAAGAUGAUGACGGUACCUGCAGAAGCAGCUGCGGCUAACUACGUGCCAGCAGCCGCGGUAAUACGUAGGCAGCAAGCGUUGUUCGGAGUUACUGGGCGUAAAGGGUGUGUAGGCGGUUUGGUAAGUCUGGUGUGAAAUCUCCCGGCUCAACUGGGAGGGUGCGCCGGAAACUGCCGGACUCGAGUGCGGGAGAGGAGAGUGGAAUUCCUGGUGUAGCGGUGAAAUGCGUAGAUAUCAGGAGGAACACCGGCGGUGUAGACGGCUCUCUGGACCGUAACUGACGCUGAAACACGAAAGCGUGGGUAGCAAACAGGAUUAGAUACCCNNGUAGUCC
RNAcentral lists this ribosomal RNA (770 nucleotides) under uncultured bacterium. RNAcentral describes it as "bacterial SSU rRNA". It matches the Rfam family "Bacterial small subunit ribosomal RNA", at positions 8 to 796 of the family's 1533-position model. The record is from RNAcentral.